RNAcentral lists this long non-coding RNA (2431 nucleotides) under Pan troglodytes (chimpanzee). RNAcentral's name for it is "long non-coding RNA NONPTRT003834". Lineage: Eukaryota; Metazoa; Chordata; Mammalia; Primates; Hominidae. The record is from RNAcentral.
CUAAUUGUGAUAGGCCACAACAUGUUUUUAUAGAUGUCAACAAAUGUUAUCCUGGAUUGAGACCACAUUUUGACUAUUUAUCCUGGAAAGUACACAUUUUCACAGGAAAUCUUGUCCUUUCUAAAGUUCCCAACUAAGCUAGUCUCGUUGUGGGGGGGGGGUCAUAAUUAUUUGUUCUUACUUACCUUACCCCUUGUUCAUCUUUAAAAAAAAAAUCAAAUAAAAAGGAUUGGAAAGCAACUUUGCUUCUGCCCAAUUCUGCUAAAUGAAAGUUUUCUCUGACAGAUCAUUUUGAUUUUGUAUUUUCUUCUGUGACAGAAACAGUGGGACAGGAGCAUGGAAAUGAAUGAAAGUCUUUAAAAGCCUUGAGAGAGAGUUUUCAAGGAUCAGGAGAGGGCUUAGAAAGAAAAGGACUCUGAGUGGGGCUGCAUGAAAAGGGGGUAAGUGAGGACUCUUGGGGAGGGUCUGAAAAAAACAAGUAGUUUGGCAAGGAGAGCAGAAAAAUAAAAUUCCACUGUGUAGGCAUUUGGGGAUUUAGCAAGAUCAACCUAGAGUCUGCCCCCAGAGACACUGCACAUUAUUUCUGACACAGAGGAUGCACUAAUUCUAUUUCCUGUGCCACCUGAAAAAAUCAUAAUUUGAGAAGAGAAACUGUUAGGCCAUUUCUAGUGAACUAUUUUUCCAAACCCUCACGGAACCCUGAACAGGGUGUGAAUGAGAUCACAACUACCGCUGCUGCUGGUUCAGCCUCUCUGUCCACUAAUAAAGGCAAACCCUUCAGCAUGGUCAUAUCCUGCCAGCCAUUUUCCCCCAAAAGAUUAAAUUAUGUUCAUCUUGGUUCAUCUAACGCCACAUCUUGAGUUCUUAAGGUAUCACAGCCAACUCAGUCAUACCUUACUUUAUGCACUGAGUAUGCAUUGAACUCUAUUUAGGAAGGAAGAGGGAAGCAAAGGAAGCCAAGGAUGGUUUUGUCAUGACCUCUCUUUGCUUUCUGACCUCCCGGAAUCCACUCUUUGGAAGAUGCGCAGAAAACAAUGUGACUUCCAUUUACCCUGCCUCAGAUCUCCCCUCCUUCAGGCUGGCUCCCACCCCUGGUUCAUGGGGUAAAUUGGGUACGCCUAUUUGUUAAAGGAAUUUGUGGGAAGUGAGGGGCAAAAUUGUUGGAGCAGAGGGAAUAGAUUUAUCGGAGCUUUGUUACCCAGUGACUAUCCCAGCAUUAAUACUUCAGAGUAGUCCUGACGCUUGUGGAAACAUUUCAAGGGAGCUAGAGGCAAUGUUACAGUGGAGAUCAGAGAAGGGAUGGGGCAGUGAGCUCUUGUCCCUAGGGGAAAUCUCUUUUCCUCCAUGUGACAGGAGCCAGUGCUCCAACAGCAUCAGAAUUACACUUAGCCACAAUGACUGAUGCGUGUGUGUGCCUGUGCACAUGUGUGUGAGCAUGCGUGAGUGCACGUGUGUAAGGGGGUGAUGAUGGAAACAUGAUAUGCAUCCACUGUGGGGUUGCGUUGCAAAUUCACAGCUGCACCCCUCCCAAAGUCACAUGGCAGAGGGGAAAUUGUCAUAGCUUUCCCUUGUGAUGUCCUCUCCAGGGAGCACCGACGACUCAGGCUUGCCUCAGCUCUGCGAGGCCCAGACUCCACACUCCUCCCUGGGGCCAGCUCUCCUUCCUCUUGACUCUCAGAUCCCCAGCCCAUCCACCUCCAAGUUCUUUUUUUGUUUAUUUGUUUUGCUUCUGUUUUCUGUAAAUAUCUAUUUCUUAUUUUGGACAUGCAGGGAUCAAUUGAGAUUCUGGAGUGGGGGGAGGGGCGGAUGACUGGGUCUUUUUAUUUUUUCCUUUCUCUCUUGGAUUUUGGUGUUUGAACUUGAAAAAAAUAAUUACAAGUAUAUAUAUAAGCAAAUGACUUACCUUUAAACAAAAGAAAUAAGUUGAUUUCAUUCUUUUGAUUUAUCUUGUUUCUCAUUGGGGUCGGGUGGGGGUGGGGGGUCUUUUGGGUGGAGGGCUUUUUUGUGAGCUGUAUAGAUUUCCAGUUUGGACUUGUUCAAAUGAUGCAGGAACAAAAAAUAAAACGAAUUAAAAAAAAGACAACAUAAAAAAACAAGAAAAACUUUGUGAUGUAUAAAAUCUGUAAAUAGUCAAAGAUUCUUUCUCUUUUCUAAUGGCAAAUUAUUUCUGUCACUUUAUAUUCAAAAAAUAAAGAAACCUACCACAAAUUAUCAGGGUUAAAAAAAAAUCCAGAAUCAGAGUUUUUUUCUUGGUCUUUGUGCUUUCUUUACUGUGAUUCCAAAAAGAUUGUUAAAAGUACUGUUUGGGAAAUACCCCUUGCCCAGUUGGUUUCCGAUUGUUGGUAGGAGUCUUGGACUGGCGAAUCUACUUGGGUUAGGAUCUGUUUCUACUAUAGCUGGUGCUGGAGCCCUUGGUUACACUCAUCUCCCC